GGGGUGGGGGGAGGGUCUCCCCACCUAGGGAUUGGCAACCCUGGACCAGUGUGAUUCCAUCCCUUCUGCCCAGCACGCUGCAGUCAUGAACACUCAGUAAAGCGCUACACUUCAAAAUACAAUAACAUCAAGAUGCCUUUUUUUGGGUAUACAAGUUCAUUGGUCAUAUGGAGGGGUGAGGAGACACAAAUGGACAAAAGGCAAGAUCAGACAGCAGAUGGCAGCAGCACCCUGGCUUAAAUGAGAAAAAAAAAUGGAAAAUGGGCCAUAAAUAACAUCCUUUGCUAUACAAGGAACGAGACUACUGGCUUACAGGAAGAAACUAAUGCAAACUUUUAAAUCAAA
Heteronotia binoei (common prickly gecko) is the source of this 345-nucleotide long non-coding RNA. RefSeq lists it as uncharacterized. Lineage: Eukaryota; Metazoa; Chordata; Lepidosauria; Squamata; Gekkonidae. The transcript has 3 exons. The record is from RefSeq and is a predicted model, not a curated record.